UUGUUCUUGACAGGCAGAACUUUCCCUCUUUUUCUUCUUUCUCUCUCUUUGGUCUCUCUCUCGGCUCCGGUUCUCUCUCUUUGAAAUUUUUUUUGGUUACAUUCAUCACACAAAUUCUAUGAUCCACCAAAAUCUAUUAGGUUUUAGACCCAUGUUCUUGAGACCAAAGUGAAAAGCUUGGUGAGAGUAACGUUUUGACUUGUGGAGAUCAAAAUCCGACAAAGUCGAAAAUUGGAGUUUUUACUUGUUUCCUCUUCUAGCUUUUGAGGUGAUUAUAGUGUGCCUUCGCCAAAGUGAAGGCGUGGAGGAUCUUGUGGAGAACAAGGCUCAAUUAUUUAUUUGUUUUGUUUUCUCUGCAAGCCAAGGGCUAUCUAUGUAUGGGUUUGAAAACCACUUUGUUGUAACCGGGCAAAGCCUUGGAACUUGUAGCCGUUAAGGCAUUAAUUGAUAUUUUGUUGCUUUAACUUGUUAUUAUCACAUGCUAUAAAAUUUCAUAUCUUAAGGAU
Long non-coding RNA from Camellia sinensis, 506 nucleotides. RefSeq lists it as uncharacterized. The record is from RefSeq and is a predicted model, not a curated record. Lineage: Eukaryota; Viridiplantae; Streptophyta; Magnoliopsida; Ericales; Theaceae.